UGAAUACGAGAUGCUACGGCGUCGAAGCAGUGUAUGUCAGACUUCCAAGAAAAGCUCGCAAUGUCAUAAAUAAAGAAUGCCUGUACCAUAACCGACACAGGUGGGUAGGUAGAUAUACUAAGGGGCGCGAGAUAACUCUCUCUAAGGAACUCGGCAAAAUAACUCCGUAACUUCGGGAGAAGGAGUGCCUUCUAUUAGAAGGUUGCAAUAACAAGAUCCAAGCAACUGUUUAUCAAAAACACAGGUCUCCGCUAAGUCGUAAGACGAUGUAUGGGGGCUGACGCCUGCCCAGUGCCAGAAGGUUAAAGAAGUUGGUUAGCUUUGGCGAAGCUGAUGACUGAAGCCCUGGUGAACGGCGGCCGUAACUAUAACGGUCCUAAGGUAGCGAAAUUCCUUGUCGGGUAAGUUCCGACCCGCACGAAAGGCGUAAUGAUUUGGAUACUGUCUCGGAGAGGGACUCGGUGAAAUAGACUUGUCUGUGAAUGCGGACUACCUGCACCAGGACAGAAAGACCCUAUGAAGCUUUACUGUAACUUGAAAUUGAAAUUGGACUUUAUUUGCGCAGCAUAGGUGGAAGGCGUUGAGAUUACUCUUGCGGGAGUACUGGAGCCAUCAGUGAGAUACCACUCCUAUAAUGUUAGAUUUCUAACUUUGGAUCAUGAUCUGGUCAAAGAACAGUUUCAGGCGGGCAGUUUGACUGGGGCGGUCGCCUCCCAAAUGGUAACGGAGGCGUACAAAGGUUUCCUCUGAACGGGUAGAAAUCGUAUCUAGAGUGUAAAGGCAUAAGGAAGCUUGACUGUGAGACCUACAAGUCGAGCAGGGAUAAAGUCGGUCUUAGUGAUCUGACGGUGCUGAGUGGAAAGGCCGUCACUCAACGGAUAAAAGUUACUCUAGGAUAACAGGCUGAUCUCCCCCAAGAGUUCACAUCGACGGGGAGGUUUGGCACCUCGAUGUCGGCUCAUCGCAUCCUGGGGCGGUAGUACGUCCCAAGGGUUGGGCUGUUCGCCCAUGAAAGCGGUACGCGAGCUGGGUUCAGAACGUCGUGAGACAGUUCGGUCCAUAUCCGGUGUAGGCGUUAGAAUAUUGAGAGGAGCCUUCUUUAGUACGAGAGGACCGAGAAGGACAUACCUCUGGUGUACCAGUUAUCGUGCCAACGGUAAACGCUGGGUAGCUAUGUAUGGAGAGGAUAACCGCUGAAAGCAUCUAAGUGGGAAGCCCACCUCAAGAUGAGUAUUCUCAC
RNAcentral lists this ribosomal RNA (1240 nucleotides) under metagenome. Its description in RNAcentral is "bacterial LSU rRNA". It matches the Rfam family "Bacterial large subunit ribosomal RNA", at positions 1564 to 2817 of the family's 2925-position model. The record is from RNAcentral.